RNAcentral lists this ribosomal RNA (472 nucleotides) under uncultured bacterium. RNAcentral's name for it is "bacterial SSU rRNA". It matches the Rfam family "Bacterial small subunit ribosomal RNA", at positions 40 to 507 of the family's 1533-position model. The record is from RNAcentral.
CGGCAGGCCUAACACAUGCAAGUCGAGCGGAUGAGAAGAGCUUGCUCUUCGAUUCAGCGGCGGACGGGUGAGUAAUGCCUAGGAAUCUGCCUGGUAGUGGGGGACAACGUUUCGAAAGGAACGCUAAUACCGCAUACGUCCUACGGGAGAAAGCAGGGGACCUUCGGGCCUUGCGCUAUCAGAUGAGCCUAGGUCGGAUUAGCUAGUUGGUGAGGUAAUGGCUCACCAAGGCUACGAUCCGUAACUGGUCUGAGAGGAUGAUCAGUCACACUGGAACUGAGACACGGUCCAGACUCCUACGGGAGGCAGCAGUGGGGAAUAUUGGACAAUGGGCGAAAGCCUGAUCCAGCCAUGCCGCGUGUGUGAAGAAGGUCUUCGGAUUGUAAAGCACUUUAAGUUGGGAGGAAGGGCAGUAAGCUAAUACCUUGCUGUUUUGACGUUACCGACAGAAUAAGCACCGGCUAACUCUGUG